RNAcentral lists this ribosomal RNA (253 nucleotides) under uncultured bacterium. RNAcentral's name for it is "partial 16S ribosomal RNA". It matches the Rfam family "Bacterial small subunit ribosomal RNA", at positions 524 to 776 of the family's 1533-position model. The record is from RNAcentral.
UACAGAGGUCUCAAGCGUUGUUCGGAUUCAUUGGGCGUAAAGGGUGCGUAGGUGGCGGGGUAAGUCAGGUGUGAAAUCUCGGGGCUCAACCCCGAAACUGCACUUGAUACUGCCUUGCUUGAGUACUGGAGAGGAGAUUGGAAUUUACGGUGUAGCGGUGAAAUGCGUAGAUAUCGUAAGGAAGACCAGUGGCGAAGGCGAAUCUCUGGACAGUUACUGACACUGAGGCACGAAGGCCAGGGGAGCAAACGGG